This 485-nucleotide ribosomal RNA is filed under the name uncultured bacterium. RNAcentral describes it as "partial 16S ribosomal RNA". It matches the Rfam family "Bacterial small subunit ribosomal RNA", at positions 899 to 1397 of the family's 1533-position model. The record is from RNAcentral.
ACUCAAAUGAAUUGACGGGGGCCCGCACAAGCAGCGGAGCGUGUGGUUUAAUUCGAGGCUACACGAAGAACCUUACCUAGACUUGACAUGGGAGAGAACGAAGGUGAAAGCCUGAGGUUCGCAAGACUCUUUCACAGGUGCUGCAUGGCUGUCGUCAGCUCGUGUCGUGAGAUGUUAGGUUAAGUCCUGUAACGAGCGCAACCCCCGGUGGUAGUUACAAGGUGUCUACCGCGACUGCCUGCGUAAGUGGGAGGAAGGUGGGGAUGACGUCAAGUCAGCAUGGCCUUUAUGUCUAGGGCUACACACACGCUACAAUGGUCGGUACAACAGGAUGCCAAGCGGCAACGCGGAGCAAAUCCUCACUAAAGCCGAUCUCAGUUCAGAUUGUGGGCUGCAACCCGCCCACAUGAAGUCGGAGUUGCUAGUAACCGCGCGUCAGCCAUAGUGCGGUGAAUACGUUCCCGGGCCUUGUACACACCGCCCGU